AUUUAAUCACAACGCUUCAGAUAAACUCUCUGUGGAUUCAACUGGAACAAAGGGUGCGUUAUCAUUUAUUGCGUCCAUCAACCAGAAGGGAUAUUUAGUAAGCGAUAACACAGCUGCUGGUCUGAAGAUAAAUGUUCACGACCAGCAUCAAUUACCUGACGUUUCUAAUAAUGGAAUUAUAGCAUCCCCAGGUGCCUCUACACUUAUAGGACUACGCAAAGAGUCGUACAAUUUUUUACCCCCUCCCUUCAAGGCAUACGGUGAUAGUUCGUGUAUGGCAAAUGAUGAUCCAUCCUUGCUAUCUAAGAUGAAAUAUUAUUCAGUCUACAACAGAGAAACGUGUAUCAGGGAAUGUUUAGGGGAGAUAACUGUAAAAAAUUGCAGUUGUAAAUCAAUAACAGAACCAAACAGUCUACCACACCCAUACUGCACACUACAGGAACUGGUGAAUUGCUACAGACCAACAUUAGGUCUGUACUACAGUAAUAAUCAUUAUGAUGUGUGUGAUUGUCCUAGGGUCUGUACGUUUAAUAAAUACAAGACUCUUAUAUCAAUGGGGAUGUUUCCUUCAACAAACGCCAUGGAAGAGCUGAUUAAGAACAACAUUAUUGCCGGCAGACAAGUCGCAAGUACAGGUUUUUUGGAUAUCACAAUAUUCUAUGAAGACUUGCUACUGGAAGAAGUUCAGCAUGUUCCUGAAUACAGUACCUUGUCAAUCCUAGGUACAGUAGGAGGACAGAUGGGAUUAUUUCUAGGAGCUAGUGUUAUAACAUUAGCAGAGUUUAUGGAGAUGUUCCUGUGGUCAGUAUGGCUGAGCCUGGGGAAGAUUCACCGAAGAUUUCAAGGCGUUGGACCCAGCAGUUCUAUUACACCAGUUAAACCAAUAAAAUAAUAGUAUCCUAAUAUAUUUUAUACGCCCACAUUUCAAUGGGGGUGGGUUGCGUCACCAACCUGUCUGGCGAUGCGUCCGUCAACAAUAGGCUUGUGAACACAAUAUAGGCUACAGUUUUUGACGGAUUAUUUUUUUUUCACAUUUGGUAUAAAUCAUCGUGGUCAUGAAAUAUUCAACGCCACAUUUCAUUGUGGGCGUAUUAUGUCACAAACCUGUCCUUUGGUCCGCCGUCAACAACAGGCUUGUGAACGCGAUAUAGACUAUAGUUUUUGACGGAAUGUUUUUGACAAAUUUGGUAUGAUGCAUCGAGGACAUGAGAUAUUCAGUGUUCUGCGACCUUGCGUACCAGAGUAAUGCACGCUUUUCCGAAAACCUUGUGAACAGAAGUGUUCUACAACUUUCCGUUCUGGAGUUAUCCCUCCUUUGUCGAAAACCCCCUGACGCCGCGAUAGGGGAUGUAGUUUUAAAGGAUGUUUUUUUUUCAAAUUUGAUGUGAGGUAUUGUGGUCAUGAGAGAAAAAAAAACCUAUCGAUAUUCAGUGUUCUGCGACUUUUCGUAUCGGAGGUAUCCCCCCUUUGCCAAAAAUCGUGUAAAGCUAGAGUCUAUGGUUUUUAACGGAUUUCAUUCAAAUAUGUGAGGACGCAUUGGGAUCUUGAGAGCAUGAACCCUAUUGAUAAUAAGCGUUCGUCGACUUUCCGAAGAAUUCACCAAAUUUGAAGAACAUCCAAGUUUUCCCUUCAGAAGACAAAGCUGUUGUGUGGGUGUAUUUCCACGCUUUGUAUGACUAUCUUUUGUUAAUCCGAGAAUUAAGAGCAAGUGGUGUUGGCUUACGGGGGAAAUCGUGUACAGAAACGUCUGGCUAAAACUAGAUAGUUCUAUAAUUGUAUGUGUA
Long non-coding RNA from Patella vulgata (common limpet), 1784 nucleotides. RefSeq lists it as uncharacterized. Lineage: Eukaryota; Metazoa; Mollusca; Gastropoda; Patellidae. The record is from RefSeq and is a predicted model, not a curated record. The transcript has 6 exons.